Mastomys coucha (southern multimammate mouse) is the source of this 421-nucleotide long non-coding RNA. RefSeq lists it as uncharacterized. Lineage: Eukaryota; Metazoa; Chordata; Mammalia; Rodentia; Muridae. The transcript is spliced from 3 exons. The record is from RefSeq and is a predicted model, not a curated record.
CUCUGCUGCAGGAGCCUAAAGCCUGCUGGUUCAGAAUGAACACCUCCUGCCCACUCCCUCUCGGAAAUGAAAUGUCAUCAAAGAUCCUGAGUACCUGCUUCACUUGGCCCUCCUGAGCUGAAGUUCCAGCAUCCCCCCGAUGGGCACUGGGUCCUCCUGCAAUUUCUCCACUGCUACCCACCUGUGCAAUAAGGGCAGCAUGCAGGCUGUGGUGGUCAUCAUCCCAGCCCUGAACUCCUUGUCCACGCUGCUGGUCGUCAGCUGCAUCUUAUGGAAGACAUGUCGACGGCGGGCCCGACUCACCUAUCCCAGCCCUCCAUCUCCAUGAAAGGACCCAGAUCUCAAGGAGCUCCUUUUAAAACUCAUCUCCAGUGGCCUGAAUGCUGGAAAGGCUUCUAAUACCAUCCUGCACGCUGAAAAU